GAACUUAAGCAUAUCAAUAAGCGGAGGAAAAGAAACCAACAGGGAUUGCCUCAGUAACGGCGAGUGAAGCGGCAACAGCUCAAAUUUGAAAUCUGGCCUCCUCCGGGGGUCCGAGUUGUAAUUUGCAGAGGAUGCUUCGGGUUCGGCCACGGUCUAAGUUCCUUGGAACAGGACGUCAUGGAGGGUGAGAAUCCCGUGUGGGACCGCCGGCCACGCCCGUGUGAAGCNCCUUCGACGAGUCGAGUUGUUUGGGAAUGCAGCUCAAAACGGGUGGUAAAUUUCAUCUAAAGCUAAAUACCGGCCAGAGACCGAUAGCGCACAAGUAGAGUGAUCGAAAGAUGAAAAGCACUUUGGAAAGAGAGUUAAAAAGCAUGUGAAAUUGUUGAAAGGGAAGCGCUUGCGGCCAGACUUGUCUCCGGGUGUUCAACCGGCGUUUUCGCCGGCGCACUCGCCCGGGGCCAGGCCAGCAUCGGUUCAGGUGGCCGGACAAAGGCCCCCGGAAUGUGGCUCCCCUCGGGGAGCGUUAUAGCCGGGGGUGCAAUGCGGCCCGCCGGGACCGAGGAACGCGNUUCNGCUCGAUGCUGC
This 585-nucleotide ribosomal RNA is filed under the name Chaenothecopsis nigripunctata. RNAcentral describes it as "eukaryotic LSU rRNA". It matches the Rfam family "Eukaryotic large subunit ribosomal RNA", at positions 30 to 629 of the family's 3401-position model. The record is from RNAcentral. Lineage: Eukaryota; Fungi; Ascomycota; Eurotiomycetes; Mycocaliciales; Mycocaliciaceae.